GACGUAGGAGGCAAGCGUUAUCCGGAUUUACUGGGCGUAAAGCGCACGCAGGCGGCUGCGUAAGUCGGACGUGAAAGCUCCCGGCUCAACUGGGAGAGGUCGUUCGAAACUGCGCGGCUUGAGGUUGGAAGAGGAGAGCGGAAUUCCCGGUGUAGUGGUGGAAUGCGUAGAUAUCGGGAGGAACACCAGUGGCGAAAGCGGCUCUCUGGUCCACACCUGACGCUCAGGUGCGAAAGCGUGGGUAGCGAACGGG
RNAcentral lists this ribosomal RNA (253 nucleotides) under uncultured bacterium. Its description in RNAcentral is "partial 16S ribosomal RNA". It matches the Rfam family "Bacterial small subunit ribosomal RNA", at positions 524 to 776 of the family's 1533-position model. The record is from RNAcentral.